This 360-nucleotide transfer-messenger RNA is filed under the name Actinomycetota bacterium. It matches the Rfam family "transfer-messenger RNA". Rfam says of the family: Bacterial tmRNA, also known as 10Sa RNA or SsrA, is named for its dual tRNA and mRNA-like properties. Its role is to liberate the mRNA from a stalled ribosome. Lineage: Bacteria; Bacillati; Actinomycetota. The record is from RNAcentral.
GGGGGUGCAUGGUUUCGACUUCGGUCGUCAAGACGGGAGAAGCGAGCCGUGGUCUCCGGAUCCACGUGAAAGAGCCGGAACCCUAAACAAACGCCAACGACAAGCCGUCGUUUGCACUCGCUGCCUAACUAGCAGCGACGUUCGCCCGGUCUCCGCCCUGUGGGCCGGAUACGAGCGUCAUCCAGCAGGGCUCACCUGCCGGGUCUCGUCAGUGGGCCCGACGGGGACACUUCAGCUGACUGGGGCGGUCGCCGCCCGCCGGCGAGUUGCGACCGCCCGAGAUCACCUUCGCCGGCUGCGCUCGGAGAAGGCCCGUUGCGAACCCGAAGCACGAGGGUUCGAUUCCCUCCACCUCCACUA